This 253-nucleotide ribosomal RNA is filed under the name uncultured bacterium. Its description in RNAcentral is "partial 16S ribosomal RNA". It matches the Rfam family "Bacterial small subunit ribosomal RNA", at positions 524 to 776 of the family's 1533-position model. The record is from RNAcentral.
UACGGGAGGUGCGAGCGUUGUCCGGAAUCACUGGGCGUAAAGGGCGCGUAGGUGGUUUGAUAAGGGUGUGGUGAAAGUCCGGGGCUGAACCCCGGAUCUGCCGUGCCGACUGUCAAACUCGAGGACUGUAGAGGCAGACGGAAUUCCGGGUGUAGCGGUGGAAUGCGUAGAGAUCCGGAGGAAGACCGGUGGCGAAGGCGGUCUGCUGGGCAGUUUCUGACACUGAGGCGCGACAGCGUGGGGAGCAAACAGG